AGGGUGCAGGGCGGAUGCCUUGGCACUAGGAGCCGAUGAAGGACGUGAUAAGCUGCGAUAAGCUUCGGGGAGUUGCACGUAAACUUUGAUCCGAAGAUUUCCGAAUGAGGAAACUCACUUAGAGUAAUGUCUAAGUAUCAUUAAGUGAAUACAUAGCUUAAUGAGGGGAACUCAGGGAACUGAAACAUCUAAGUACCUGAAGGAAGAGAAAGAAAUUCGAUUCCGUAAGUAGCGGCGAGCGAACGCGGAUUAGCCCAAACCAAUAAAGUUUUCUUUAUUGGGGUUGCGGACAUAUCAUAACGAAGAGGUAUCGUAAUUGAAGAGGUUUGGAAAGACCCACCACAGAAGGUAAUAGUCCUGUAUGUUAAACGAGAAGACUUCAGAUAUGAUCCAGAGUACCACGGGACACGUGAAACCCUGUGGGAAGCAGGAGGGACCACCCUCCAAGGCUAAAUACUACCUAGUGACCGAUAGCGUAUAGUACCGUGAGGGAAAGGUGAAAAGAACCCCGGGAGGGGAGUGAAAUAGAACCUGAAACCCUGCACUUACAAGCUGUGGAAGCACAUUUCUUGUGUGACCGCGUACUUUUUGUAGAACGGGCCAACGAGUUACGUUAAGUAGCAAGGUUAAGCACUUAAGGUGUGGAGCCGUAGCGAAAGCGAGUUUUAACUGAGCGUUCAGUUACUUGACGUAGACCCGAAACCGGGCGACCUACCCAUGAGCAGGAUGAAGCGAAAGUAAAAUUUCGUGGAGGUCCGAACCCACGAGCGUUGAAAAGCUCGGGGAUGACUUGUGGGUAGCGGUGAAAUUCCAAUCGAGCCCGGAGAUAGCUGGUUCUCCCCGAAAUAGCUUUAGGGCUAGCCUCAAGGUGAGAGAUACGGAGGUAGAGCACUGAAUGUCCUAGGGGGUAUUGCACCUACCGAAGACUAUCAAACUCCGAAUGCCGUCAUCUUAUACUUGGGAGUCAGACUGUGGGUGAUAAGAUUCAUAGUCGAAAGGGCAACAGCCCAGAUCGUCAGCUAAGGUCCCUAAAUGUAAGUUAAGUGGUAAAGGAUGUGGGAUUGCACAGACAACCAGGAUGUUGGCUUAGAAGCAGCCACUCAUUCAAAGAGUGCGUAAUAGCUCACUGGUCGAGUGAUCCUGCGCCGAAGAUUUCCGGGGCUAAAACUUACUACCGAAGCUACGGCAUCAGUAAUGAUGGGUAGGGGAGCUUCCCAUACGGGUUGAAGCAUGACCGUAAGGACAUGUGGACAGUAUGGGAGUGAGAAUGUUGGCAUGAGUAGCGAGAUGUGGGUGAGAAUCCCACAGGCCGUAAACCCAAGGUUUCCAGGGGAAGGUUCGUCCGCCCUGGGUUAGUCGGGACCUAAGCUGAGGCCGAAAGGCGUAGGUGAUGGACAACAGGUUGAUAUUCCUGUACUACCGAUAACCGUUUGAGAGAAGGGAUGACACAGUAGGAUAAGCUAAGCACACUGUUGGUUAUGUGUGCCCAAGCAUUGAGGCAGUCAAAGUAGGCAAAUCCGCUUUGAUAAUGCUGGGAUGUGAUGGGGAGCGAAAUUUAGUAGCGAAGUAGCUGAUUUCACACUGUCAAGAAAAGUCUCUAUCGAGGUUAAAGGUACCCGUACCGCAAACCGACACAGGUGGGUGAGGAGAGUAUCCUAAGGCCAGCGAGAGAACUGUUGUUAAGGAACUCGGCAAAAUGACCCCGUAACUUAGGGAUAAGGGGUGCCACCAUCAGGUGGCCGCAGAGAAUAGGCCCAAGCGACUGUUUACCAAAAACAUAGGUUUCUGCUAAGUCGCAAGACGAUGUAUAGGAGCUGACGCCUGCCCGGUGCUGGAAGGUUAAGGGGAUCUGUUAGAGCAAUCGAAGCAGUGAACUUAAGCCCCAGUAAACGGCGGCCGUAACUAUAACGGUCCUAAGGUAGCGAAAUUCCUUGUCGGGUAAGUUCCGACCCGCACGAAAGGCGUAACGAUUUGGGCACUGUCUCAACAACAGACUCGGUGAAAUUGUAAUUCCGGUGAAGAUGCCGGAUACCUGCGACAGGACGGAAAGACCCCAUGGAGCUUUACUGUAGCUUGACAUUGGGUCUUGGUACUACAUGUACAGGAUAGGUGGGAGGCUUUGAAACCAGGACGCCAGUUUUGGCGGAGCCAUCCUUGGGAUACCACCCUUGUAGUACUGGGACUCUAACCAUAGGCCAUGAAUCUGGUCUUGGGACACUGUCAGGUGGGCAGUUUGACUGGGGCGGUCGCCUCCCAAAAGGUAACGGAGGCGCUCAAAGGUUCUCUCAGUACGGUCGGAAAUCGUACGUAGAGUGUAAAGGCAAAAGAGAGCUUGAUUGCAAGACAUACAGGUCGAGCAAGGAUGAAAAUCGGACUUAGUGAUCCGGUGGUUCUGCGUGGAAGGGCCAUCGCUCAACGGAUAAAAGCUACCCUGGGGAUAACAGGCUUAUCUCCCCCAAGAGUCCACAUCGACGGGGAGGUUUGGCACCUCGAUGUCGGCUCAUCACAUCCUGGGGCUGUAGUAGGUCCCAAGGGUUGGGCUGUUCGCCCAUUAAAGUGGUACGCGAGCUGGGUUCAGAACGUCGUGAGACAGUUCGGUCCCUAUCCGUCGCAGGCGUAGGAAAUUUGAGAAGACCUGUCCUUAGUACGAGAGGACCGGGAUGGACGUACCUCUGGUGUACCAGUUGUUCUGCCAAGGGCAUGGCUGGGUAGCUAUGUACGGAAUGGAUAAGCGCUGAAAGCAUCUAAGCGCGAAGCCAACUUCAAGAUAAGAUUUCCCACCGCAAGGGUAAGACCCCAGAAAGACUAUCUGGUUGAUAGGUCGAAGGUGUAAGUGCAGCAAUGUAUUUAGCUUAUCGAUACUAAUAGGUCGAGGACUUGACC
RNAcentral lists this ribosomal RNA (2883 nucleotides) under Clostridioides difficile. RNAcentral describes it as "bacterial LSU rRNA". It matches the Rfam family "Bacterial large subunit ribosomal RNA". Lineage: Bacteria; Bacillati; Bacillota; Clostridia; Peptostreptococcales; Peptostreptococcaceae. The record is from RNAcentral.